GCCGAAGUGGUGGAAUUGGUAGACACGCCAUCUUGAGGGGGUGGUGGGCGUAUGCUCGUGCGGGUUCAAGUCCCGCCUUCGGCACCA
Molecule: transfer RNA, 87 nt
Filed under: Dasania phycosphaerae
Lineage: Bacteria; Pseudomonadati; Pseudomonadota; Gammaproteobacteria; Cellvibrionales; Spongiibacteraceae
Also listed under: 1 other name
Description: tRNA-Leu
Rfam family: tRNA
About the family: Transfer RNA (tRNA) molecules are approximately 80 nucleotides in length. Their secondary structure includes four short double-helical elements and three loops (D, anti-codon, and T loops). Further hydrogen bonds mediate the characteristic L-shaped molecular structure. tRNAs have two regions of fundamental functional importance: the anti-codon, which is responsible for specific mRNA codon recognition, and the 3' end, to which the tRNAs corresponding amino acid is attached (by aminoacyl-tRNA synthetases). tRNAs cope with the degeneracy of the genetic code in two manners: having more than one tRNA (with a specific anti-codon) for a particular amino acid; and 'wobble' base-pairing, i.e. permitting non-standard base-pairing at the 3rd anti-codon position.
Source: RNAcentral